RNAcentral lists this ribosomal RNA (366 nucleotides) under Brachybacterium sp. 7MP7. RNAcentral describes it as "bacterial SSU rRNA". It matches the Rfam family "Bacterial small subunit ribosomal RNA", at positions 58 to 422 of the family's 1533-position model. Lineage: Bacteria; Bacillati; Actinomycetota; Actinomycetes; Micrococcales; Dermabacteraceae. The record is from RNAcentral.
CAAGUCGAACGAUGACGGUGGUGCUUGCACCACCUGAUUAGUGGCGAACGGGUGAGUAACACGUGAGUAACCUGCCCCCCACUUCGGGAUAACCUCGGGAAAUCGUGGCUAAUACCGGAUACGAGCACUCAUCGCAUGGUGGGUGCUGGAAAGAUUUAUCGGUGGGGGAUGGACUCGCGGCCUAUCAGUUUGUUGGUGAGGUGAUGGCUCACCAAGACGAUGACGGGUAGCCGGCCUGAGAGGGCGACCGGCCACACUGGGACUGAGACACGGCCCAGACUCCUACGGGAGGCAGCAGUGGGGAAUAUUGCACAAUGGGCGAAAGCCUGAUGCAGCGACGCCGCGUGGGGGAUGACGGCCUUCGGG